This 212-nucleotide long non-coding RNA is filed under the name Gossypium raimondii (Peruvian cotton). Its description in RNAcentral is "long non-coding RNA (GRAI_LNC005498)". Lineage: Eukaryota; Viridiplantae; Streptophyta; Magnoliopsida; Malvales; Malvaceae. The record is from RNAcentral.
CCUAUUUUCAGUGUAAUAUAUAGAACUUAGUAGUCUAAUAAUUGAAAAUUUUAAAUUAUUCACUAUCAUGCCAAAUUUACAGUAAACACAAUUGACCUAUAUACAUGCUCCUAACCAAUCACUUGUAUUUCUAUAAGCUCAAGCACACUUUCGACAAGAAAAAUAAAAAAAAAAGAUAAGAAAAUAAAAAUUAAACUUCCUAUGUUACCCCC